UCUGUGCAUAUAUAUGUGUGUGUCUCUCUACGGUUGUACUUCUGUAAUGGUCACCUCCAGGCGAAAGAGAGCUAAUAUCACAGUGCAUUGGUUUCUGUUCCUGGUCGGGACAUGUUAUUAUAGCCUGUCGUGUUGUCAUGCCCUCUACACUGCAGGGCCCUGUUCUCUCUGCUCCCUCUAUCACAUUCCCACAUCACUAAAGCCAGGAAAAUGGUUUUAUCAUAUCCCCCUCCACAGGGAGGUUCAGAGGUCAGGUUCUUCCUCAGAACUGCAGUCCUGGGACUGGAAGGGAUUCAAUGAUGCAUCAACAGGAUGGAUACUUGCCCAAAGUGAGAGGCUUUGUGGUGCAAUCUGGGUGAACUGUGGGCUGCAUAGGUCACAUAGUUCAGUGUCUGACAGUUGACUCUUCAGGAGUACGGACCCGGGAAAAAAGGUCAAAAUAUGUUUUACAAGAGCUGAGUGAUAGACGUCAUCUUAAUGAGACAGACAGUUAAUAUAAUUUUGCAAUUUGAGGUUGUUACGUUCCUCCGGAAGGUAAGUCCAGUGGGAGGAGGAGCAACAAUAUUUGAAAUAAA
Micropterus dolomieu (smallmouth bass) is the source of this 575-nucleotide long non-coding RNA. RefSeq lists it as uncharacterized. The record is from RefSeq and is a predicted model, not a curated record. NCBI's taxonomy places the organism in Eukaryota, Metazoa, Chordata, Actinopteri, Centrarchiformes, Centrarchidae. The transcript is spliced from 4 exons.